AUUGAACGCUGGCGGCAUGCCUUACACAUGCCAGUCGAACGGUAACAGGUUAAGCUGACGAGUGGCGAACGGGUGAGUAAUGUAUCGGAACGUGCCCAGUCGUGGGGGAUAACUGCUCGAAAGAGCAGCUAAUACCGCAUACGACCUGAGGGUGAAAGCGGGGGAUCGCAAGACCUCGCGCGAUUGGAGCGGCCGAUAUCAGAUUAGGUAGUUGGUGAGGUAAAGGCUCACCAAGCCGACGAUCUGUAGCUGGUCUGAGAGGACGACCAACCACACUGGGACUGAGACACGGCCCAGACUCCUACGGGAGGCAGCAGUGGGGAAUUUUGGACAAUGGGCGCAAGCCUGAUCCAGCCAUGCCGCGUGCGGGAAGAAGGCCUUCGGGUUGUAAACCGCUUUUGUCAGGGAAGAAAAGGUUCUGGCUAAUACCUGGGACUCAUGACGGUACCUGAAGAAUAAGCACCGGCUAACUACGUG
Molecule: ribosomal RNA, 477 nt
Filed under: uncultured bacterium
Lineage: Bacteria
Description: partial 16S ribosomal RNA
Rfam family: Bacterial small subunit ribosomal RNA
Source: RNAcentral